RNAcentral lists this non-coding RNA (110 nucleotides) under Mucilaginibacter lappiensis. RNAcentral describes it as "SAM-I sequence". It matches the Rfam family "SAM riboswitch aptamer (S box leader)". Rfam says of the family: The SAM riboswitch is found upstream of a number of genes which code for proteins involved in methionine or cysteine biosynthesis in Gram-positive bacteria. The SAM riboswitch acts at the level of transcription termination control. Lineage: Bacteria; Pseudomonadati; Bacteroidota; Sphingobacteriia; Sphingobacteriales; Sphingobacteriaceae. The record is from RNAcentral.
UAAUUAUCCAGAAAGACUGAGGGAAAGGCCCUGUGAUGUCUUAGCAACCUGUACAGAUUGUUAUAAAGGUGCUAAUUCCUAUCUGUAAUUACUUGCAGAAAAGAUAAUGA